Molecule: long non-coding RNA, 1019 nt
Filed under: Marmota monax (woodchuck)
Lineage: Eukaryota; Metazoa; Chordata; Mammalia; Rodentia; Sciuridae
Source: RNAcentral
GAUCACAGGAUCCAGUCAAUAGACGCAGCAAAGGCCUCUGAUAAAAUCCAACAGCCAUUCAGGUCAGAAAGAAGCUGGGGACUGAAGGAAGCCACCUGGAUGCUGUAAAGGCCAUUUAUAACUGACCCAGGGCCAAGGUCACACUAAAGGCGGGGGCUCCGAGAUUCCGGCGGUGACCCGAGGGGAAAAGGGGGCCAAAGUGGAUAGAAACCGGAAAAGAAGUGCAGCCACCCGUUCGUCGGGGGCGCAGUCCUCCAUCUACAGGAACCAGAGCCCCACCCCCACCCCAGAGGACUCUCGCGCCUCGAAUGAAUCUAGCAGGACAGCAGGACACAGUUCAUCGCCCAUGGACCAGCGGCUGUCCCAGAGGACACCGGGGCGUUACCCCCACGGCCACUGCCAGCUGCCAGCGAGCAGAGAGGGCGCCCACCUCCGGGGAGGUGCCAGAGGGGCCCUCCCUGCUGGCCCCACCGUGAACCAAGAGGAGCAGACGGCUCCUCAGCAAGGCAUCAGGGGACUGUAGUGGAAUCCAAGGGGCCAAGCGCCCCAGCCCCGCACGGCUGGAGGCACACACCAGGCUGUCCGUCCGUCUGUCCGGGAACACGGUACAGCCCCGUCCCCAGGGAGCCUGGGGCGGUCGGUGUGGAGCCUUUGGAGAUCAGCCACCGCCCACGGCUCAGCGGGACCUAUUGGUUUAAGCAGUUUGGCAUAUUGUUUGCAAUGGCUGCUGUCAUGGUCUCUCUCCCUCAAAGGCAAGAUACUGGAACCUUCAGGAACACGGUACGUCUACAGGUAGAAACUGUGCUGCCUCAGGUCCACACUAAACAGGUAGACACACAACCACCUGAGAACACAAGGGGACAAACUGCCCCAAGAAACCAAGAUGCCCCCAUAACAGAAUCCACCGACACCCACAGUAGACUAAAUGACAGACGGAGUUUAGCAUGUACCUAGGUGAACUGACCCAGGAUGUAAAGGAUGAUGUAAGCAGUGAAAUCAGAGAUAAAAUUCAGGAGGUG